UCAGGCGCAAUAAUUAGCCCAAGACACCUAGCCAUGCCACACCCACAAGGGAAUUCAGCAGUAAUUAAUAUUGAAUAUAAGCGUCAGCUUGAUUCGGUUAAAGUAAAAAGGGCCGGCAAAUAUGGUGCCAGCCGCCGCGGUUACACCAUAUGACCCAAAUUGAUCCCCUACGGCGUAAAGCGUGAUUAAAGUUACUAUAUAUUGUAGUUAAACUACUAAUAGGCUGUAAUACGCUUUUAUUUAGGAAGCUCAAAAACGAAAGUUACUGCAUGCAAAACAACUUGAAUUCACAACAGUUAGGUUACAAACUAGGAUUAGAUACUCUACUAUGCCUAACUAUAAACUUUUAAUUUACACCAAAUAUCGCCUGGGAACUACGAGCAAAGCUUAAAACCCAAAGGACUUGACGGUACCCCACAUCCCCCUAGAGGAGCCUGUCCUUUAAUCGAUACUCCACGUUUAACCUCACCAUUUUUAGCUAAUCAGUCUGUAUACCUCCGUCGUCAGCUUACCACGUGAGCGACUUAAAGUAAGCUAAAUGUUUAUUUUACAUCAAUACGUCAGGUCAAGGUGCAACUAAUAAAAUGGAAAGAGAUGGGCUACWCUCUCUAACAUAGAAUACACAAAAGACUAACUGAA
Molecule: ribosomal RNA, 639 nt
Filed under: Hyloscirtus pacha (Morona-Santiago treefrog)
Lineage: Eukaryota; Metazoa; Chordata; Amphibia; Anura; Hylidae
Description: partial 12S ribosomal RNA
Rfam family: Bacterial small subunit ribosomal RNA
Source: RNAcentral